Picea glauca (white spruce) is the source of this 124-nucleotide non-coding RNA. The record is from Rfam. Lineage: Eukaryota; Viridiplantae; Streptophyta; Pinopsida; Pinales; Pinaceae.
UCAUGUAAUUAUUCCUACAACGUUAAUGCACCAGAUCCCAUCAAGACUCCAAAGUUAAGCACACUUGGGCUAGAGUAGUAUUGGGAUGGGUGAGAUCAUGUUAAGUCCCGGUGUUUUACAUGCC